Molecule: long non-coding RNA, 340 nt
Filed under: Medicago truncatula (barrel medic)
Lineage: Eukaryota; Viridiplantae; Streptophyta; Magnoliopsida; Fabales; Fabaceae
Description: long non-coding RNA (MTRU_LNC003842)
Source: RNAcentral
UUUCUCUCAUUUUCAAAUUACUCUUUCAUUUUCUAAUUUCAUUUCUCUCUUUUCGUGAAAGUUAGAAUCAUAAACCAUUCUCCAUAAAAUCACCAUCAAUGCACCUAUUUAACCAUGGUAUGCCUCUGUUUUACCUUAUUUGUUUAUGUCACCAAAUCAUAGACGCAAAAAGUCUCACACUUAAAAAAGAUAUGUUAAUGUGUCAAUUGUGAUUUAAAGUUCCAUAUUAGAUACAAUUGUAUAUGUCGAGACACAUGUAAUAUGUGAUGAUCAAUGUAAGAGUAGAUGUUUAAUUUUUAUAUUAUAUUUAAAUUUUUGGCUGUUGUUCGUUAUUUCCUGC